GGGAAUUUUACUAGGUCAGGACAAUGUAAGGAUUGACAGAUUGAGAGCUCUUUCUCGAUCCAUUGUGUGGUGGUGCAUGGCCGCUCCUGGUUGGUGGAGUGAUUUGUCUGGUUGAUUCCGUUAACGAACGAGAUCUCGACCCUUAAAUAGGUGCCCAUGUCGUCUGUAGUCUCACCUCCGCCGGCUUGCUGGAUUGGAGUGGGACGAGACUGUGGGAAUACUUCUUAAGGGGACUGUGUGCGUCUAUAGCACGCGGAAGAGCGAGCCAAUAG
RNAcentral lists this ribosomal RNA (272 nucleotides) under uncultured eukaryote. RNAcentral describes it as "partial small subunit ribosomal RNA". It matches the Rfam family "Eukaryotic small subunit ribosomal RNA", at positions 1208 to 1456 of the family's 1831-position model. The record is from RNAcentral.